Cucurbita maxima (winter squash) is the source of this 1320-nucleotide long non-coding RNA. RefSeq lists it as uncharacterized. The record is from RefSeq and is a predicted model, not a curated record. NCBI's taxonomy places the organism in Eukaryota, Viridiplantae, Streptophyta, Magnoliopsida, Cucurbitales, Cucurbitaceae. The transcript is spliced from 5 exons.
UGAGUGAAAACCAAGAAAGAAAAAAAAUGAUUUUGAGGAAAAAAAAUGAUUUUGAGGAAAAGAGAGAAAAUAUUAAUUUGGUUAUAAGAAAGGAAGAAAUGAAGAAUAUGUUAGCUCAAGAACCAAAAUUUGUACUUAUGUGCAAAGGAAUGUGUUUAGCAAUAGAACAAAAAACUAAUGAUGCUUUGCCAAGUGUUUUUAAGUCUCUUUUGCAGGAAUUCAAUGACAUGUUUCCACAUGAAGAUGCAUGUACGGGGUUACCCCCUCUAAGAGGGAUUGAACACCAAAUUUACUUCGUGCCUAGGGCAACUCUUCCUAAUAUGGCUGCCUAUAGGACCAAUCCCACCGAGACUAAGAACAUUCAGAGACAAGUGGAACAAAACUCAUGGAUAAAGGCUAUGUUAGAGAAAGCAUGAGUCCUUGUUCGGUUCCUGUGAUUUUGGUACCCAAGAAAGAUAACACGUGGAGGAUGUGUGUUGAUUGUCGAGCUAUCAACAAGAUAACGAUCAAGUCAACUUCCUAGGGUUCUUAGCUGGAAAGAAUGGAGUACAAAUUGAUGAAGAAAAGGUAAAAACUAUUAGAGAAUGACCAACACCAACAAAUGCAACCGAGUGGAAUAGGCAUAGGAGCUGUUUUAAUGCAAGAAAAAAGUCCAAUCAUGUUCUUCCAUGAAAAGCUUAAUGGAGCACAACUCAACUAUCCGACUUAUGACAAAGAGUUGUAUACACUUGUGAGGGCUUUGCAAGUUUGGCGACAUUAUUUGUGGCCAAAAGAGUAUGUUAUUCAUAUGGAUCAUGAAAGUUUGAAGCACCUCAAAAGCCAAACAAAGCUAAAUAGGAGACAUGCUAAAUGGGUGGAAUUCAUUGAGACAUUUCCUUAUGUAAUUCCAUUACAAAAAGGGGAAGGAUAACGUGGUCACAGAUGCAUUAUCAAGAAGCUUCUUCAAGAGCCGAAUACAUAAAAAGAAUUCACAAAAACAUAAAAGAAAGAAAUUGAUUUUUAAACAAGGUGACUGGGUUUGGGUUCAUCUACAGAAGGAAAGGUUUCCAAAUCAGAGAAAAUCUAAACUUCAACCAAGAGGAGAUGGUUCUUAUCAAGUACUAGAGCGGAUCAAUGACAAUGCAUACAAGCUAGAUCUCAAAGAUGAUCGCAGGCUGCCGGUUGAGUUGGAGGAACGUUUGAGAGUUGUGCCGUUACAGAGGGGGUUGUCUUGGAGCGUCAGUCUCGUUUUGGAGUCUUUUGUAUUCUCUUUUAUAGUUGUUCUCUUUGUAAUAUUUGAAACAUUAAACUUCUUUUUCUUCGAAUUUAAAAAUUUUAUGA